Molecule: transfer RNA, 24 nt
Filed under: Chromis punctipinnis (blacksmith)
Lineage: Eukaryota; Metazoa; Chordata; Actinopteri; Pomacentridae
Description: partial tRNA-Phe
Source: RNAcentral
GCUAGCGUAGCUUAACUAAAGCAU